Molecule: ribosomal RNA, 502 nt
Filed under: uncultured bacterium
Lineage: Bacteria
Description: bacterial SSU rRNA
Rfam family: Bacterial small subunit ribosomal RNA
Source: RNAcentral
UCAACGCUGGCGGCGUGCCUAACACAUGCAAGUCGAACGCGAGAGGGGCUUCGGCCCCAAUUGAGUGGCGAACGGGUGAGUAACGCGUGGGUGACCUACCUUCGAGUGGGGGAUAACGUCCCGAAAGGGACGCUAAUACCGCGUAACAUCCUGCCUUUGAAUAGGUGGAGAUCAAAGCUGGGGAUCGCAAGACCUGGCGCUUGAUGAGGGGCCCGCGUCUGAUUAGCUAGUUGGUGGGGUAAUGGCUCACCAAGGCGACGAUCAGUAUCCGGACCUGAGAGGGCGGACGGACACACUGGGACUGAGAUACGGCCCCGACUCCUACGGGAGGCAGCAGCUAAGAAUCUUGCGCAAUGGGCGAAAGCCUGACGCAGCAACGCCGCGUGGGGGACAAGGCCUUCGGGUCGAAACCCCUUUUGCGAGGGAGAAGUUCUGACGGUACCUCGCGAAUAAGACACGGCUAACUACGUGCCAGCAGCCGCGGUAAUCUGAUGGCGCGAGG